UACGGAAGGGGCAAGCGUUGUUCGGAAUCAUUGGGCGUAAAGGGCGCGUAGGUGGUUCUGUAUGUCUACCGUGAAAGCGUACGGCUCAACCGUAUUUUGUCGGUAGAAACUGCAGGACUUGAGGCUGGGAGGGGCUGGUGGAAUUCCCUGUGUAGCGGUGAAAUGCGUAGAUAUCUGGAGGAACACCGGUGGCGAAGGCGGCGUCCUGGACCAACACUGACACUGAUGAGCGAAAGCCAGGGGAGCAAACGGG
This 253-nucleotide ribosomal RNA is filed under the name uncultured bacterium. Its description in RNAcentral is "partial 16S ribosomal RNA". It matches the Rfam family "Bacterial small subunit ribosomal RNA", at positions 524 to 776 of the family's 1533-position model. The record is from RNAcentral.